UGGUCAAGUUAUUAAGGGUGCAGGGCGGAUGCCUUGGCACUAGGAGCCGAUGAAGGACGUGAUAAGCUGCGAUAAGCUUCGGGGAGUUGCACGUAAACUUUGAUCCGAAGAUUUCCGAAUGAGGAAACUCACUUAGAGUAAUGUCUAAGUAUCAUUAAGUGAAUACAUAGCUUAAUGAGGGGAACUCAGGGAACUGAAACAUCUAAGUACCUGAAGGAAGAGAAAGAAAUUCGAUUCCGUAAGUAGCGGCGAGCGAACGCGGAUUAGCCCAAACCAAUAAAGUUUUCUUUAUUGGGGUUGCGGACAUAUCAUAACGAAGAGGUAUCGUAAUUGAAGAGGUUUGGAAAGACCCACCACAGAAGGUAAUAGUCCUGUAUGUUAAACGAGAAGACUUUAGAUAUG
Molecule: ribosomal RNA, 402 nt
Filed under: Clostridioides difficile
Lineage: Bacteria; Bacillati; Bacillota; Clostridia; Peptostreptococcales; Peptostreptococcaceae
Description: bacterial LSU rRNA
Rfam family: Bacterial large subunit ribosomal RNA
Source: RNAcentral